GUAGGUAUAGCUCAGUGGUAGAGCACCUGCUUAGCAUGCAGGAGGCCCUAGAUUCAAUCCCCAGUUCUUCUG
Molecule: transfer RNA, 72 nt
Filed under: Camelus bactrianus (Bactrian camel)
Lineage: Eukaryota; Metazoa; Chordata; Mammalia; Artiodactyla; Camelidae
Also listed under: 2 other names
Rfam family: tRNA
About the family: Transfer RNA (tRNA) molecules are approximately 80 nucleotides in length. Their secondary structure includes four short double-helical elements and three loops (D, anti-codon, and T loops). Further hydrogen bonds mediate the characteristic L-shaped molecular structure. tRNAs have two regions of fundamental functional importance: the anti-codon, which is responsible for specific mRNA codon recognition, and the 3' end, to which the tRNAs corresponding amino acid is attached (by aminoacyl-tRNA synthetases). tRNAs cope with the degeneracy of the genetic code in two manners: having more than one tRNA (with a specific anti-codon) for a particular amino acid; and 'wobble' base-pairing, i.e. permitting non-standard base-pairing at the 3rd anti-codon position.
Source: Rfam by way of RNAcentral